Molecule: transfer RNA, 73 nt
Filed under: Candidatus Omnitrophota bacterium
Lineage: Bacteria; Pseudomonadati; Candidatus Omnitrophota
Also listed under: 1 other name
Description: tRNA-Lys
Rfam family: tRNA
About the family: Transfer RNA (tRNA) molecules are approximately 80 nucleotides in length. Their secondary structure includes four short double-helical elements and three loops (D, anti-codon, and T loops).
Source: RNAcentral
GGGCCGUUAGCUCAACUGGCAGAGCGGCGGACUCUUAAUCCGUAGGCUGCAGGUUCAAGUCCUGCACGGCCCA